RNAcentral lists this ribosomal RNA (261 nucleotides) under uncultured prokaryote. RNAcentral's name for it is "partial 16S ribosomal RNA". It matches the Rfam family "Bacterial small subunit ribosomal RNA", at positions 524 to 784 of the family's 1533-position model. The record is from RNAcentral.
GACGGAGGAGGCAAGCAUUGUCUGGAAUUAUUGGGCGUAAAGAACACGUAGGCGGUUUGUCAAGUCAUAUGUGAAAACCUUGGGCUUAACUUAAGGAUUGCAUAUGAUACUGGCAAACUAGAGUAUAGUAGAGGAAAGCGGAAUUCCUGGUGUAGCGGUGAAAUGCGCAGAUAUCAGGAAGAACGCCAGUGGCGAAAGCGGCUUUCUGGACUGUUACUGACGCUGAGGUGUGAAAGCUAGGGAGGCGAACAGGAUUAGAUA